Molecule: ribosomal RNA, 373 nt
Filed under: uncultured bacterium
Lineage: Bacteria
Description: bacterial SSU rRNA
Rfam family: Bacterial small subunit ribosomal RNA
Source: RNAcentral
AGCGAACGCUGGCGGCAGGCUUAACACAUGCAAGUCGAGCGCUCGUAGCAAUACGAGAGCGGCAGACGGGAGAGUAACACGUGGGAACGUACCCUUUGGUUCGGAACAACACAGGGAAACUUGUGCUAAUACCGAAUAAGCCCUUACGGGAAGAUUAUCGCCAAAGGAUCGGCCCGCGUCUGAUUAGCUAGUUGGUGGGGUAAUGGCCACCAAGGCGACGAUCAGUAGCUGGCUGAGAGGAUGACCAGCCUCAUUGGGACUGAGACACGGCCCAAACUCCUACGGGAGGCAGCAGUGGGGAAUAUUGGACAAUGGGCGCAAGCCUGAUCCAGCCAUGCCGCGUGGAUGAUGAAGGCCUUAGGUUGUAAAGUCC